RNAcentral lists this ribosomal RNA (396 nucleotides) under uncultured bacterium. RNAcentral's name for it is "partial 16S ribosomal RNA". It matches the Rfam family "Bacterial small subunit ribosomal RNA", at positions 359 to 773 of the family's 1533-position model. The record is from RNAcentral.
AGUAUUGGACAAUGGGCGCAAGCCUGAUCCAGCCAUGCCGCGUGAGGGAUGAAGGCCCUAGGGUUGUAAAGCUCUUUCAUCGGUGAAGAUAAUGACGGUAACCGGAGAAGAAGCCCCGGCUAACUUCGUGCUCGCAGCCGCGGUAAUACGAAGGGGGCUAGCGUUGUUCGGAAUUACUGGGCGUAAAGCGCACGUAGGCGGAUGGGUCAGUUAGGGGUGAAAUCCCGGGGCUCAACCCCGGAACUGCCUUUAAUACUGCCGGUCUAGAGUCCGAGAGAGGUGAGUGGAAUUCCGAGUGUAGAGGUGAAAUUCGUAGAUAUUCGGAGGAACACCAGUGGCGAAGGCGGCUCACUGGCUCGGUACUGACGCUGAGGUGCGAAAGCGUGGGGAGCAAAC